Neodiprion fabricii is the source of this 150-nucleotide long non-coding RNA. RefSeq lists it as uncharacterized. NCBI's taxonomy places the organism in Eukaryota, Metazoa, Arthropoda, Insecta, Hymenoptera, Diprionidae. The transcript has 3 exons. The record is from RefSeq and is a predicted model, not a curated record.
UGUUGGUGUAAUAGGCCAUGAGGAUAAUCAUUCAAUCUUAGUAUAUUGUAUAUGAGCGACAGAUUUUUUUCCUGGAACUCUGUACUAGAAAGAUUGAUGGCUCGGUCAACUAGGUUAAUGAUGGUGCCUAUCUUUUACAGUUAAAUAAAU